AGAGUUUGAUCCUGGCUCAGAACGAACGCUGGCGGCGCGUCUUAAGCAUGCAAGUCGAACGGGAACUAGAAGCUUGCUUCUAGCGAGAGUGGCGGACUGGUGAGUAACACGUGGGUGACGUACCCUAAGGAUGGGGAUAGCCUGUAGAAAUACGGGGUAAUACCGAAUACGCUCGUUGCAGUAAAGCGCAAUGAGGAAAGAUGCUACGGCAUCACCUAAGGAACGGCCCGCGGACUAUUAGCUAGUUGGUAUGGUAACGGCAUACCAAGGCGACGAUAGUUAUCCGGCCUAAGAGGGUGAACGGACACAUUGGGACUGAGAUACGGCCCAGACUCCUACGGGAGGCAGCAGCUAAGAAUAUUCCGCAAUGGGGGGAACCCUGACGGAGCGACGCCGCGUGAACGAUGAAGGCCGGAAGGUUGUAAAGUUCUUUUAACCAAGAAGAAAAAGUUAUAUAGGGAAUGAUGUAAUGAUGACGGUAUUGGUUGAAUAAGCAACGGCUAAUUACGUGCCAGCAGCCGCGGUAACACGUAAGUUGCGAGCGUUGUUCGGAAUUAUUGGGCGUAAAGGGCAUGUAGGCGGUAUUGCAAGCCUGGUGUGAAAGGCGGGGGCUCAACCCUUGGACUGCGCUGGGAACUGCAUUACUAGAGUCGCUGAGGGGCAAUCAGAAUUCCAGGUGUAGGGGUGAAAUCUGUAGAUAUCUGGAAGAAUACCAAUGGCGAAGGCAGGUUGCCAGCAGAUGACUGACGCUGAGGUGCGAAGGUGCGGGGAGCAAACAGGAUUAGAUACCCUGGUAGUCCGCACAGUCAACGAUGUACACUGGAUGUCUGGAAUAAAAUCUGGGUGUCGAAGCAAACGCGAUAAGUGUACCGCCUGGGGAGUAUGCCCGCAAGGGUGAAACUCAAAGGAAUUGACGGGGGCCCGCACAAGCGGUGGAGUAUGUGGCUUAAUUCGAUGCAACGCGAAGAACCUUACCUGGGCUUGACAUGUAAUGAACAACAUGUGAAAGCACGCGACUCUUCGGAGGCGUUACACAGGUGCUGCAUGGCCGUCGUCAGCUCGUGUCGUGAGAUGUUUGGUUAAGUCCAGCAACGAGCGCAACCCCUGUUACCAGUUACCAGCACGUGAAGGUGGGGACUCUGGCGAGACUGCCCAGAUCAACUGGGAGGAAGGUGGGGACGACGUCAGGUCAGUAUGGCCCUUAUGCCCAGGGCUGCACACAUACUACAAUGCCCAGUACAGAGGGGGCCGAAGCCGCGAGGCGGAGGAAAUCCUAAAAACUGGGCCCAGUUCGGACUGUAGGCUGCAACCCGCCUACACGAAGCCGGAAUCGCUAGUAAUGGCGCAUCAGCUACGGCGCCGUGAAUACGUUCCCGGGUCUUGCACUCACCGCCCGUCA
RNAcentral lists this ribosomal RNA (1399 nucleotides) under uncultured bacterium. RNAcentral describes it as "bacterial SSU rRNA". It matches the Rfam family "Bacterial small subunit ribosomal RNA". The record is from RNAcentral.